GACCUGCGGAGGGAUCAUUGCUGG
RNAcentral lists this ribosomal RNA (24 nucleotides) under Cytospora schulzeri. Its description in RNAcentral is "partial 18S ribosomal RNA". The record is from RNAcentral. Lineage: Eukaryota; Fungi; Ascomycota; Sordariomycetes; Diaporthales; Cytosporaceae.